This 253-nucleotide ribosomal RNA is filed under the name uncultured bacterium. RNAcentral describes it as "partial 16S ribosomal RNA". It matches the Rfam family "Bacterial small subunit ribosomal RNA", at positions 524 to 776 of the family's 1533-position model. The record is from RNAcentral.
UACAGAGGGGGCAAGCGUUGUUCGGAAUUACUGGGCGUAAAGGGCGCGUAGGCGGCCUUCUAAGUCGAACGUGAAAUCCCUGGGCUCAACCCAGGAACUGCGUCCGAUACUGGGAGGCUUGAAUCCGGGAGAGGGGUGUGGAAUUCCAGGUGUAGCGGUGAAAUGCGUAGAUAUCUGGAGGAACACCGGUGGCGAAGGCGGCAUCCUGGACCGGUAUUGACGCUGAUGCGCGAAAGCCAGGGGAGCAAACGGG